This 192-nucleotide ribosomal RNA is filed under the name uncultured Staphylococcus sp. RNAcentral's name for it is "partial 16S ribosomal RNA". It matches the Rfam family "Bacterial small subunit ribosomal RNA", at positions 149 to 334 of the family's 1533-position model. Lineage: Bacteria; Bacillati; Bacillota; Bacilli; Caryophanales; Staphylococcaceae. The record is from RNAcentral.
CCGGGAAACCGGAGACUAAUACCGGAUAAUAUAUUGAACCGCAUGGUACAAUAGUGAAAGACGGUUUUGCUGUCACUUAUAGAUGGAUCCGCGCCGCAUUAGCUAGUUGGUAAGGUAACGGCUUACCAAGGCGACGAUGCGUAGCCGACCUGAGAGGGUGAUCGGCCACACUGGAACUGAGACACGGUCCAG